This 606-nucleotide unclassified non-coding RNA is filed under the name Hevea brasiliensis (rubber tree). Lineage: Eukaryota; Viridiplantae; Streptophyta; Magnoliopsida; Malpighiales; Euphorbiaceae. The record is from RNAcentral.
AGAGACCAAAUCCACAAAAGUGACACUUGUAACAUCAGAAACUGAGAAUUAUAUUCCCAUUCUCUCUGGUCUUUAUUUAUUAUCAUAAAUAAAUUAUAGUAUAUAUAAGUUUUGUUCUACUUCUGCAACUUUCUAAACAAAUUUGCAAUAUUGUGCAAGUCAGGCAAUCCAAGAUGGAUUUACACAAGGAAGGUGAUACAGGCUCCGCAAAGCAGAAGAAGGUCAAGAUUGUUUUUGUUAUAGGUGGUCCGGGGAGUGGUAAAGGAACACAAUGCAAAAGAAUAGCACAACAAUUUGGAUACACUCAUCUUAGCGUUGGCGAGAUUCUACGUCAAGAAACCAGUUCUGGUUCUGAAACUGGCCAUAUGGUUCAGAAAAUUAUGAAGGAGGGAAAGCUUGUUCCGUCGGAUGUAACAGUGAGGCUUCUUCAACAAGCCAUGCAGGGAAUUGAUAAUGACAAAUUCCUCAUCGACGGCUUCCCCCGGGAUGAAGAGAAUGUUAAAGCAUUUGAGGAUCUUACAAAAAUGGAGCCUGAGUUUGUCCUUUAUUUAGAUUGUCCACAAGACGAAAUGGAGAAGCGCUUGCUAUCAAGAAAUGAGGGAAGAG